Molecule: long non-coding RNA, 334 nt
Filed under: Panax ginseng (ginseng)
Lineage: Eukaryota; Viridiplantae; Streptophyta; Magnoliopsida; Apiales; Araliaceae
Description: long non-coding RNA (PGIN_LNC016126)
Source: RNAcentral
UAAAAACCUAAUCAGUUCCUCCCCUCCUCCAGCCGCACUAAUUUUUUUUUCUCUCUUUCUCUCACCUGAGAUUUGCACCACCCUCUCAUCUCUCUCUCUCUCAAACUGGCACCUCCAUCUCCUUCACCUCUGCAGGCGACCACCUCCUCCUGCCGUCUCCUUCUCAUCCUCUUCCUUCUCCUCAUCUUCUCUCUCUAGAUCUGUCGUAUCUCUAACUCUUUAGAUUUAUCUAGUCGAUCUCUCAUCUCUAUGUCCCUCAUCAGUCGUUCCACCACCAUGCCGAAGCCACCUCCGUCGCCACUGCACCUCAAGCGCCGACGAUGACCCCCACAAC